AAGGCAAAGCGUGUAUGAAUUUUAUAGCUUGUGCUCUGUGGCAAAGCAACUUUGAAAGAUUUAGGCUUUCUCAAGGAAAACAUUAAUUGAUUCCUGACAAAUCAAGUUUUAUUUCUCAUUUUUAGAGUUCUUUUGUGUUUGAUUUGUACUACAAAAGAGUUUUUGAGCUAAAGUGCAGCAUGUGCUCCAGUAGCUAUGCCCUUCCUGGGAACAUAUUCCUGGUCAGUGCAGAAUGAACACAGCUCCUCUUGUCAGCCUGAUGAUUAGUUUCUGCUAGAAGCAGAAGCGUCUGAAGAGGCAGGAAGUGCUUGUUUUGCAGAACUAAUUGAAACUGAAUGUGGAAUGUGGCUGCAGAGAAAACUAAAAAUGUUCUUUCUAUAUUUGGAAUCCUCAUGUGUUGCCACCUGUGAAUAUCUGCAGAUAUCUGAUAUUUGGAGUUAGCAGUAGGGCUGCAUUCUGAGUAUUGCUUUGGUUUGUCUAAAGCUGACUUAGAAUGGAGCACUCAGUGGUACUGUGCGAAUGUGAGCCCCAGUAAAUAUGGAGAGAGCUGUUUGUCUCAAAGAAUGGCUUGUGGAAUGCUCCAUGCUAAUGUAGUAAAGAGUUGGUAAAUUAGAGAACAAAUGUUUAAGCCAAUGAAAAAGAAGGCAGGGAACAGAAAAGAUUCCUUGUAGCAACUGUGAAUUGAGGGUAUUAAUGUUUGGGUAAAGUAUGAGUAGUCUCAUGAGGUUGCUGUGUGCUCUAUUAACAAGCCUGAAAAAGAGGAUUUUUAUUUUUGUUUUGCUUUGUUUUUUGAGAAAUUGAUGAAGUUUUGAGAAAAAGAGGAAUUCAAGAGGGAGAAUUGUUAGCCAGUCUUGAAGAAGUGCUUGCUGAUCAGGCGGUUUAUCCAGUGCAACUAAGUUACAUCUGUGUGUAACUCUGCUUAAAACAUUCUCCUUUAAAAGAAGCCCAAGCUCUUACAGAAACAACAGUAGGUAAAAGUAAAAUGUGAAAACAAAAGCACUUGGGCUGGACCUGGUCCAUAUAUUCGUACUUCAGAAUUGCAAAUGAGUAAGGAACGUACCGAUUUGGCAAACAGAAGACUGGUGUGUGCAUUUCUCUUCUUUAGUCUCCAGAGUUUAUGAAUUUCUUGUUUAAAUAAUAAUAUCGUGCUGCGUAGAAUUGAGUUGAUGCAGCAUAACUAGGGAAGCUGGAUUAGGCAACAAAUUUAUAUGCAGAUGUCCUUCGAGCCUCCAGAUAGGUCACGAUGGGAAUACACAGUCCUUUCAGGGAAUGAGAUUACAAUGCCACCUAAUGAAUCCCCAGAUUUAAAUUAAAUUAUUCCAACUUAGUCUACUUGUAUGGAUAGAACAAGUUAAACUACCACUUAUUAAAUAAUAAUAAAAAAUCCCAUGAUGGACCAUCUAUUAUUGAGAGCAGCUGGAAAUUCUGCUACAUGUGACCAAAGUCUAUGAAAUUACAAAUUAUUAUAUUGAAACACUGUCUUACUUACAAUUUUCUUUUUUCCCCACAGGCUGUUCUCUUAAUAUUUGAGUCAUCAAAAUUCACCGUCAGAAGCUGAAACAGCAAAACAGCUCUUUAAGCCCUUGUGCCUUUGAGUAGAGGCAGAUUUUUGAGGCUUUUUUUUUUUUUUUUGUCCUCUUCAUCCUUGAUUUUAUGAACUUCACAGCUGAGAAACUGUCAGGCUCUAGCUAUAUUGUUGUACUGCAUCAAAGAUUCAGUGUGAUGAUUCCCGUCAGUCCCUUGGCUUGUGAAGAACAAAGGCUUUACAAUGGCCUCCUGCUGUAUUUGCUUCAGCACUAUGAGAUGCUUUUUGUUGAUGUGAACCCUUAUUUCUCACCAAGACAAGCAGAUGGCCUCCAGUAGCAAGAGGAAAUUGGAAAUGUCUUGGAAAAGCCAAGAGACUUGGCAUUCUAUUUCAAUGACUGUUUUAGAAGGAACUUCACUCCCUGUAAUUCUGCAGAAUGUCACAGUCUGUCUGGGCUUGUGGUGAUGUGGGAAAGAAGUAUUGUGAAAAAAAUCCUUUCAAGUUCUUUAAUAAAAGUCCAGAUGAAGCAUAGCCACGAGGCACUCUCCUGCUCUGAGGUAAGCUUAUGAAAGAAAUCCCAUCUGUGGUGAGAAGGGAAUUUAGAAUUCUGUGGUUGAUCUUUCUUUUGUAAUUUCUGGCAGGAAAUCCAGCAUAUUGGAUAGGUACUCUUCAUCUUUCAUAAUAUAACAAUUGCUAAAAGUCCACUAAAUGAGAAACAUGAAAGUUAGGUUUACAAAGUAAACACAGUCAACGUGCAUGAACUAGUUCCAGCAAAGCAAGCAAAAAGUGAAAUGGCAAACGUGGCUCAGAUCCCUUGUUGCUUCCUGAAAAUGAAACUUGCUUUUAUUGGCUGUUUCUCCUGAAGUAACUUGAAGCAGUUACACUGAUGUUCGCAUUUUCAGCUAUUUAAUUUGAGGGAUCUUUUUAUUGCUGUUGGGGUGCACUUUUUGUAGAAAAUUAUGCCAUGUAAGUGAAUUAAAUUAUAAAUCAAACCUUGCUAGUAGUGAUUUGUCAUACUCUUUCAUCAUUAUUUCCAAAUCUUAUGUUCUGGGUUAAGAAACGACUGGACCGAUUAUUUAUUUAUUUAUUUAUUUAUUUAUUUGGCAUGGAGUUUUAGAGUGCUUUUUCAUAUCUCAUCUCUGUGCUGAAGCAUGAUAGAUAAAUCCUUCCUGAACUAAGCAAACAGAAGCACGACUUUUUUGGUGUGUGCAUACCACUGCAUCCCAUCCUUCAGUUAAUUAAAAGAAAAGCUAAAACCCUGAGGAAAUAACUCUCAUUUUUUGUUUUCUCUUCUUCCUGUGACCUUUACGUGUGCUUCCCUUUUUAUCAGCAAGGCUGCAGAGACUAUGUUGUUAUUCUCUGCAAUAGUGGAGCCCUACUGAAAAGUGAUUACAGAGAGCCAUUGCUGGGAGAGGGGAGCUGAACUCUCUUUCAGUCCUUCAGAAAGACCACAGACACCUCAGAGUGGAUUUCUGAAAGUGUACCAUGAGGUUUGAGUUGGUCUGCUUACUGCAGCUAAAUAUUUUAUGGAGAAUUUAUCUGUUUGACUUACAGUUUUAUUGAGAUGGUUCUUUGUGGUUUAGGGAGUUUUGUUAGUAUCAGGUUUUUAGCAUUUUUCAAUGAGGAUUGUGGAUGUUUCCACAUUAACCAACUUGUUUAAAAAAAAGAAAAAUCGAUGCUUCACUUUUGUUUGAAGUUGAUAUAAAAAAAGAUUUGCAGUUUUCCAAGUGGGCUGUCCUCAAUUUCAAGGACAGCUCAUAAUUUAAAUGAUGUUUUCCUUCGCUAAUCCCAUGAUAAUGCUUUUGAAAUUAGUUGAAAACUUUCAAAAAACAAAACAAAACAAAACAAAACAAAUGUGAUCUUAAGAGUUAGUAAACUCAAGCUUCCAGGUUAGACUAAAGCAUCCUGCCAGUGUAAUUUUUCAUGGAUAGAGUCUCAUAGUUCCGAUUCAUAUUUGUGGGUUUAGCAUUUUUUUCUAACUGAUACAAUCCUGAUUAUUUUCUUUCACAUAAGUUCUCUGCAUUGCAAAGAUAACUUCUAGUUGAGUUGUGAACAUAGCGAGUUCUGUGUGUAGCAUUUGAACUGCCAAGAGAUUUUUCAGUGCUUCUGUAGGGCUUGCUGUUAUGUUAUAGAAAGAUUUCUUUAUAUUACUUCCCAUUCCACAGGAAAAGUAUUUUUUCUGACCUUUGUAAAUUUUGUGGAAGCAUGGGCUCAUUAAACAUUAAGUUCUAAGUUUGAGUCUGGGAGCUGUCCAAACCAGAAGACUGGAUUAAAAAUGCCGCACAUUGAGAAUCAGAGCAGGACUUGGAUCUCCACAGAAAUUAUGGGUAAUAUAUUGUGAAAAUGUUUUUUUUUUUUUUUCUUCUGAAUAAACAAAGAAAAAUAUUUUACUGACUGCAAGCAUAAGGAUUUGAUAAAGAGCACUGUAUUAGGCAGUUGUAACUUAAAAAGACUUACUGGAGGUAGCUGGAAUAUUCAGUACACAUUCUAGGUCUUCAAUGGCAAAGCCUUCCCAUUGAUAGGUGAAGAGCAGAGGGGAUAUGGUAAUGUGUGAUGUUAUUUCUGAGCCGUGCCUAUGGUCUUCAGUAGACCUGCCUUUGUGGUGGAGGUCUGUAAGUCUGAAAUGACGAAUGUGCCUGGUUUCUGUUUUUAGCAAACUACAAGGUGUGGAGUGAAUGUGACACAUUUAAUGCUUGCUCCAACAUUGUUGGGGCUUUCUGCUGCCUUACUGUAUGAGUGCUGUCACACUUAAAUAUUUUCUGUGAUUUAGUGGAUUUUGCCACUACCUCCCUGCUCCCUGUCACAUCUAGACAAUGUUAUUUCCAUUUUUCUUUGGCUGGUGAAAGUUGUGCUAGGAGAGAAUAGGGGUAGGAGAAGGCGUGUUCUGCAGGCUUUGAAGCACACUCUUAGCUGCGCUUUACUUCAGCAAGUGACUUGAACAUGAAGAGAGAAGCCAGUUACAUUGAAGUCCUAUGAUUCUUUAAUGUGAUGAAUAAUUCAGAAAUAGUGCUCAAGUGGAUUGCACAAGCUGAUGACAUUGAUCACCAUCAGCCAUUCAAUAAUGGCAUAAAGAAUGUGAGUGGGAAAGGUCUUUCUAAAACUGAUUGCUGACAUAUGCCUUUCCUGAAUUGGAAAAACACUGAGAGGUGAUAUGCUGUACAGAAACAAACUAAGCAGUAAUGGAGAAUUACCUUUGUUACCUCUCAGUGUGUGAAUGCCUGUUUCCAGUUUUGCUGUGAACAGAGCAUCUUGAAAGCUCCUACCAAGCCAGACUUGCAAACCGUAUGUUGAUUACAGAUUGAAGAGUCUUAUUUGCAGUUCACAACGGAGAGAAAUAUCUGAUGUGUUUAGAAUGGCAGGUGGUUGUCUUGCUUAUCAAGGCCAGCUGCAACACAGGGAAGAGACUCAAUUAAUAUAGUGUACACGUUAGGAUAACACAAAGUUCUACUUUCAGAGGACCAUGCGGCCUUCCUCUGACGUUUAUUAAAAUUUACUGCACUUGUGGCUUGAGAAGACUUGAGGCUCAGAGAUCCAUCUCAAGUUUGCAGCAACAUUUUCUUCCACUUGGUGUCAGCAUUGUUCUCCCUGGCUCCUGAGCUGUAUUUCCUUUAAACAUAACCCUUUAAUACGUUCUGAGCACCUAUCUUAAAAGUACAUAUUAAAUUUCUAUUUCUGUAACAUAUCAGCAGACCAUCCUGUUCCUUCCUCAGAUAAUUACUGAUGUCAGAGAAGCAUGAAGGAAGGGUAUGAACUCACCUCCAAAUCACUGUGAAACACAACUCUUUUUCAUUUUAUGUUCAUGUCACCUUCUUUAACUCGGCAAGACUACCAAUAAAGCCUGUUAUCACUUUUGUAUUCAUUUUCUUUGGUGAACAAGAGCAACUUGAUUUGUUCCACACAUACCGAUGAUGAGGGUGUUUUGAGAAAACAUUGGAGGUGAAAUCUUUCAUAGGAAACUCCUCCCUUGGGAAAUUAAAAGUAUUUUUAUUGAAAGACUUGUGAUAUGUAAGCAUCAAAACAUUUCAGUCUUUUUCUUUUUUUUCUUUUUUUUUGCUGUUAUUGUAGUAAAAAAAAUUGACAUUUCUUUUAAACUUUUCGUGGCUUUUCAGUUUAUAUUAGGGUAAGGUUGGGAAAGGAAAAUGUUUUCAGAGAAGCAGAUGACAUGUAAAAUAAAACCCUUAAAAUAUCCACUGUUACGGAUAUUUUCACUGGAAUGAAAAAAAAGAUCCUGUUUUUCAUUUUUCUGUAGUUUUCAUAGAGAGUUGGGCUUUCUGCUAUGCAGCAGUGAAUUUAAUAGAUGUUUUCUAGAAUGCAGUGCUCCCUCCCUUCUGCCCCAAAUUCUUAGACCACUUUUUUCAUCUUUAGUGGGUUUUUCAUCUACCCUAGCAAGUAUGCAAACAUGCUGAAGUACUUAACAUCACUUUGCCAGAAGAAUAUGCCGGCACUUAUCACAGUUGCAAGAAGAAAAGCUUGGCUGAAUCUUGAAAGCGUAUCAGUGUGUUAUAGCCUAAUGCAGUUUCACUCCCAACUUAUUUGGAUUUUUACUGUAGAGCAGUCUCUGUGGUAUUUAAUUUCUUUGCUUCAAGUGAAAAAGGAAAUGUGUAUUCAUGAGUCAGCACUGCUAUUAAAUAGUUUCCAGAGCUAUCAAACUAAAGACUAGGUACUUUCUUAUUUUGCUAUGAAAAAGGAAAGAUGUAAAAUGUGCUUAUAAGGAGAACACAAAUGCAGCUGAGCAGAAAAUAUGAAAAACCAGAUGAAAUGUAUGGCUUGAAAUGUAGGCCACAGAUGAGUAUACCUUUCCUUACUGGGUAGAGUCCUUAAUACUGUCUGACUUUGUUCUCACAAGUGGCAUAACUGUGCUGUGGGAUGACUGUAUUAAAGGGUGCUGGUCAGUACUGCAUUUUUUUGGUAAAUUGUUGAAGAGUUAAAUACUUGAUGAGGGGUUGCAGCAGCACAAGGCAGCAUUACUUCCAGUAUGUGACUGGAGCUUUACCUGGGAGUUGCUAGUGUCACUGGCUGUACACAAAAGCAGAGUUAGGAGCUCAGGUUUUGGUUAAUUUUGGAGAGCCCUAUGCCAGCAUCCAGGUUUUGGGAUCUUGGUUUUGCCCCUCCAUCAUGGAACCAGGCCAAGCCAGGCUGAACUGUGACAGAGCUGAGCUAUGCAAGUUAAGUAUUGGGGAUCCAAGUAGAGGAGAACAAAUGGUAUCCUAGAUUCUUUAGGAUUUUGGGUUUUUUUUCCCCAUUUUUAUACACUGAAAUUAAGAAAUCUAUUACCAUUUAAAAAAGAAAAAAAGAAAAAAAAAAGUUGGGGAAAAAAGAACCCAUUAUGUACAUUUGCAUUUAUGUGAUAGCUUUAGGAUUUUAAAAAAGUUAUGCUGAAGAUCAAGGGAGCAAGGGAAGAAAUUGCAACUUAGCACUUCAGUUGAUAUUAUUUCAGUUGUUAGCUUUUUAACGCUUUUUUCAAACAUCAGAAUUGUGUGGAUAGCUUUCACAGAGUCACAGAAUAUCCCAUGUUGGAAGGGGAUCAAAUACAACUUGAUAUUUUGAGCUACCUAAUCUUUUUUACCACCAUUAGGAGAGGGCUAUGCCACAAUAAUAAAUGGUGAGUUGAAUUUAUGCAGCACACUGUAACUCAAAGCCAUACAAUACUUCUAAAAAUGUUUGUCUUUUGCAUAUUUUCACUAGGAAAGCAUAGCAAGCAAUCUACCACCUCAGUGCAAGGAAUGAUGGAUGAAAUUAUUUCCUUGGCUACUUUACUUUUCUUUCAACUCUUCCUUUCAUGUCCUUGAAGUUUCAUCUAAGCAAAUUCUUAGCUAUUUUACUAACCAUAUUCAUUAACUCUUUCCAUGUUUAAACAGAAUAUUGGCUGGGGUGGACAAAAGGGGAAGAGAAAGAUAAAACUGCAUUCAAGGUUAAUAUUAAAUGGGCUAUAGAACAAUGCAGUCAACCUGUCUCUGCGUAAUUUUUUUUUGCAAUCAAUAGGGGCAACUCAUGUAAGAAGUUGAGCAACUCGUGAAAGCUGCUGCUGGAACAUCAAGCUGUUGUCUUGAAAGUGUCUGCCAGUGCCUGCAGCUUAUUCCUUCCCUGCUAUUUCAAGGCUUCAAGAUAUGCUUGGAAUGAAAAACACUUUGAAGAUUCAAGUCAAAGUGUCAAGCUCAAUGCCAUUGUUGAAUAGCACCAAUACUUAAGCUCCUUGUUUACUACAGGCCUCUCUUGCUUCACUUCUGAAAACAUCAAAUACGGACUGCAACCUUGAAAAGGAGCUGGACACAAGUGGUGCGCCCUGUAAUCUAUUCAAAGCCUCUUGUAUUGUAACAUUUCUGUUUCUUUGAAAUACAAAACCACAGGUCUGUUUUUUGGUUUCUAAUUUUUGGUGGAUUAUGUUUCUGGGAAUUGUCAAACAAUUUACACUGAGGUUUUCUUUGUUUGUUUUGAGAAACUGUAAGUGCUGUCUUUAGUUUUGUUCUGUUUUUCUUCUCUUGGUAAUAUAUAAGGCUUUCGUUUUAUGUUUGUAUUAUCAACACAUUGCUUGAGAAUGCGUUUACGUUAAUAGUUCUGGAUAGCAAAUUACCAAAGGAAAUACUACAUGCUAUAAUGCUGUUGUUAUGUACAAUGUAUACUAUGUUUAUAUUCUAUGCUAAUUAUACUAUUCCUUUUACAAUAUAGUAAUUUAUUAGUAAUUGCAGUGAAUUGUUAGUUUUUAACACUUUGAAAACUAAGUAAAACCACCUCUAGGUGAUUUUACUUUCCCCCUCCCUC
Molecule: RNA transcript, 8284 nt
Organism: Tympanuchus pallidicinctus (lesser prairie-chicken)
Lineage: Eukaryota; Metazoa; Chordata; Aves; Galliformes; Phasianidae
Gene name: protein FAM13A-like
Exons: 4
Source: RefSeq, a predicted model, not a curated record